GGCGAACGGGUGAGUAAUAUAUCGGAACGUGCCCAGUAGUGGGGGAUAGCCCGGCGAAAGCCGGAUUAAUACCGCAUACGACCUACGGGUGAAAGCGGGGGAUCGCAAGACCUCGCGCUAUUGGAGCGGCCGAUAUCAGAUUAGGUAGUUGGUGGGGUAAAGGCCUACCAAGCCUACGAUCUGUAGCUGGUCUGAGAGGACGACCAGCCACACUGGGACUGAGACACGGCCCAGACUCCUACGGGAGGCAGCAGUGGGGAAUUUUGGACAAUGGGCGCAAGCCUGAUCCAGCCAUGCCGUGUGCGGGAAGAAGGCCUUCGGGUUGUAAACCGCUUUUGUCAGGGAAGAAAAGCUCCGGGCUAAUACCCUGGGGUCAUGACGGUACCUGAAGAAUAAGCACCGGCUAACUACGUGCCAGCAGCCGCGGUAAUACGUAGGGUGCAAGCGUUAAUCGGAAUUACUGGGCGUAAAGCGUGCGCAGGCGGUGAUGCAAGACAGAUGUGAAAUCCCCGGGCUCAACCUGGGAACUGCAUUUGUGACUGCAUCGCUGGAGUGCGGCA
RNAcentral lists this ribosomal RNA (560 nucleotides) under uncultured Rubrivivax sp. Its description in RNAcentral is "bacterial SSU rRNA". It matches the Rfam family "Bacterial small subunit ribosomal RNA", at positions 97 to 653 of the family's 1533-position model. Lineage: Bacteria; Pseudomonadati; Pseudomonadota; Betaproteobacteria; Burkholderiales; Sphaerotilaceae. The record is from RNAcentral.